This 480-nucleotide ribosomal RNA is filed under the name uncultured bacterium. RNAcentral's name for it is "bacterial SSU rRNA". It matches the Rfam family "Bacterial small subunit ribosomal RNA", at positions 903 to 1397 of the family's 1533-position model. The record is from RNAcentral.
AAAUGAAUUGACGGGGACCCACACAAGCGGUGGAGCAUCUGGCUUAAUUCGAUAGUAAGCGAGGAACCUUACCUAGGCUUGACAUCCCGAGAAUCUUUUGGAAACAAGAGAGUGCCUUACGGAACUCGGUGACAGGUGCUGCAUGGUUGUCGUCAGCUCGUGCCUUGAGGUGUUCGGUUAAGUCCGUAAACGAGCGCAACCCAUGUCGUGUGUUGUAUUUUUCACACGAGACUGCCGAUUCAAAAUCGGAGGAAGGUAUGGAUGACGUCAAAUCAGCAUGGCCCUUAUGCCUAGGGCUGCACAGGUGCUACAAUGGGCAGUACAGAGGGUAGCAAUGUCGCAAGACGGAGCCAAUCCCUAAAGCUGCUCUAAGUUCGGAUUGAGGGCUGCAAUUUGCCCUUAUGAAGUUGGAAUCGCUAGUAAACGCGCAUCAGCAAUGGCGCGUUGAAUAUGUUCCUGGGUCUUGUACACACCGCCCGU